This 971-nucleotide ribosomal RNA is filed under the name Escherichia coli. RNAcentral describes it as "partial 23S ribosomal RNA". It matches the Rfam family "Bacterial large subunit ribosomal RNA", at positions 398 to 1368 of the family's 2925-position model. Lineage: Bacteria; Pseudomonadati; Pseudomonadota; Gammaproteobacteria; Enterobacterales; Enterobacteriaceae. The record is from RNAcentral.
UGUGAGCUCGAUGAGUAGGGCGGGACACGUGGUAUCCUGUCUGAAUAUGGGGGGACCAUCCUCCAAGGCUAAAUACUCCUGACUGACCGAUAGUGAACCAGUACCGUGAGGGAAAGGCGAAAAGAACCCCGGCGAGGGGAGUGAAAAAGAACCUGAAACCGUGUACGUACAAGCAGUGGGAGCACGCUUAGGCGUGUGACUGCGUACCUUUUGUAUAAUGGGUCAGCGACUUAUAUUCUGUAGCAAGGUUAACCGAAUAGGGGAGCCGAAGGGAAACCGAGUCUUAACUGGGCGUUAAGUUGCAGGGUAUAGACCCGAAACCCGGUGAUCUAGCCAUGGGCAGGUUGAAGGUUGGGUAACACUAACUGGAGGACCGAACCGACUAAUGUUGAAAAAUUAGCGGAUGACUUGUGGCUGGGGGUGAAAGGCCAAUCAAACCGGGAGAUAGCUGGUUCUCCCCGAAAGCUAUUUAGGUAGCGCCUCGUGAAUUCAUCUCCGGGGGUAGAGCACUGUUUCGGCAAGGGGGUCAUCCCGACUUACCAACCCGAUGCAAACUGCGAAUACCGGAGAAUGUUAUCACGGGAGACACACGGCGGGUGCUAACGUCCGUCGUGAAGAGGGAAACAACCCAGACCGCCAGCUAAGGUCCCAAAGUCAUGGUUAAGUGGGAAACGAUGUGGGAAGGCCCAGACAGCCAGGAUGUUGGCUUAGAAGCAGCCAUCAUUUAAAGAAAGCGUAAUAGCUCACUGGUCGAGUCGGCCUGCGCGGAAGAUGUAACGGGGCUAAACCAUGCACCGAAGCUGCGGCAGCGACGCUUAUGCGUUGUUGGGUAGGGGAGCGUUCUGUAAGCCUGCGAAGGUGUGCUGUGAGGCAUGCUGGAGGUAUCAGAAGUGCGAAUGCUGACAUAAGUAACGAUAAAGCGGGUGAAAAGCCCGCUCGCCGGAAGACCAAGGGUUCCUGUCCAACGUUAA